AUUGAACGCUGGCGGCAGGCUUAACACAUGCAAGUCGAGCGGGGUGAUGGUGCUUGCACUAUCACUUAGCGGCGGACGGGUGAGUAAUGCUUAGGAAUCUGCCUAUUAGUGGGGGACAACAUCUCGAAAGGGAUGCUAAUACCGCAUACGUCCUACGGGAGAAAGCAGGGGAUCACUUGUGACCUUGCGCUAAUAGAUGAGCCUAAGUCGGAUUAGCUAGUUGGUGGGGUAAAGGCCUACCAAGGCGACGAUCUGUAGCGGGUCUGAGAGGAUGAUCCGCCACGCUGGGACUGAGACACGGCCCAGACUCCUACGGGAGGCAGCAGUGGGGAAUAUUGGAAAAUGGGGGGAACCCUGAUCCGGCCAUGCCGCGUGUGUGAAGAAGGCCUUAUGGUCGUAAAGCACUUUAAGCGAGGAGGAGGCUCUUUUGGUUAAUACCCAAGAUGAGUGGACGUUACUCGCGGAAUAAGCACCGGCUAACUCUGUGCCAGCAGCCGCGGUAA
RNAcentral lists this ribosomal RNA (503 nucleotides) under uncultured bacterium. RNAcentral describes it as "partial 16S ribosomal RNA". It matches the Rfam family "Bacterial small subunit ribosomal RNA", at positions 30 to 523 of the family's 1533-position model. The record is from RNAcentral.